RNAcentral lists this ribosomal RNA (492 nucleotides) under uncultured bacterium. RNAcentral describes it as "partial 16S ribosomal RNA". It matches the Rfam family "Bacterial small subunit ribosomal RNA", at positions 29 to 507 of the family's 1533-position model. The record is from RNAcentral.
AGUGGACGCUGGCGGUAGGCCUAACACAUGCCAGUCGAACGGCAGCACAGUAAGAGCUUGCUCUUACGGGUGGCGAGUGGCGGACGGGUGAGGAAUACAUCGGAAUCUACUUUUUCGUGGGGGAUAACGUAGGGAAACUUACGCUAAUACCGCAUACGACCUACGGGUGAAAGCAGGGGAUCUUCGGACCUUGCGCGAUUGAAUGAGCCGAUGUCGGAUUAGCUAGUUGGCGGGGUAAAGGCCCACCAAGGCGACGAUCCGUAGCUGGUCUGAGAGGAUGAUCAGCCACACUGGAACUGAGAAACGGUCCAGACUCCUACGGGAGGCAGCAGUGGGGAAUAUUGGACAAUGGGCGCAAGCCUGAUCCAGCCAUACCGCGUGGGUGAAGAAGGCCUUCGGGUCGUAAAGCCCUUUUGUUGGGAAAGAAAAGCAGCAGGUUAAUACCCCGCUGUUCUGACGGUACCCAAAGAAUAAGCACCGGCUAACUUCGUG